UGGUUUGAACCAUAACUCUAACUGUUUAAUCACACCCCUAGUAGGAGUCAAAGUUCUGAUAUCUCACUCGCUAGACGGUCUGUGCAGGUGGGCUGUGGCGUUGUGCUUUCUGCUCCCACCACCAACCCAUCAGAAAGCAUGAAAUUCACAGACUCACCGGUGAUCGACCUCCCCGUCAGCAACACCAAUCUCUCUCUCCAACAAGACAAUGGCUCCAUGCACGUCGGCACCUCCGUAUGGGCCGGUUCCCUUGUCCUCGUCAAAUUCGCCGACCGCUGGUCCCCCUCAAACCCCAGAAACCCGAACCCGAACCCGUACUCCGACCUUCUUGAUUUCCGCGCCAAACGCGGUAUCGAACUGGGCACAGGAUGCGGCGUCGCUGGAAUGGGCCUCUACCUCUUGGGCUUAACCGAUGUUAUCCUCACCGACAUAGCCCCAGUCAUGCCAGCCCUAAAGCACAACUUAAGAAAGAACAAGCCCGUGCUGAAGAAGUCCCUCAAGACAGCCCAGUUGUACUGGGCCAACUCGGCCCAAAUGAAGGCCCUCUCGCCUCCCUUUGAUGUUGUUGUGGCUACUGAUGUGGUGUACUUGGAGGAGACGGUGCGGCCAUUGGUGCAAACGAUGCUUGAAAUGAUGGCGGAAGACGGGGUUGUAUUGCUUGGGUAUCAGUUGAGGUCGCCUGAAGCUGAUGAGUUGUUCUGGAAACUUUGUAGGGAGUUUUUUCAAAUUGAGAAGGUGCCGCGUGAGGAUUUGCAUCCUGAGUAUAAUUAUGAGGAGACUGAUGUUUAUAUUUUCAGGAAAAACAAGACUUCAAUUGUAGCCGGAAUACCAGCUGUUGAUAAGGAGAGUACUUCUUCUUGAACGAGAGCUUAAAAAGAACGUUCCUGCUACGGUGUGCAGGUUGACUCAGGUAGAUUGCCUGAAAUUCUUCUGUAGAUAGCAUUCUGCUAGUUGAUCAGCAAUUGUUUUAUUGCGAAAAUCUCUUUGGAUUAUUACAAGAUUUGACUGCUGAUGUAGUUUGAGGAAAAGGGAGUUCGGGAAAUAAGUCAGGAGUCUUCUUAGUCCUUGCACCUAUAAUUAUGUUCAUUUUUAGGCGCAGAAGAUGUGCCUGUUGAUUGAGAAGCUAUCGAGGACAGCAAAAUGGAAACAUAGCUGUUGAAGCACUUCCUUUGGUAUUGCUAUUGCUUUUUUGCUCAAACGAAAUGAUAGAGGAAUGACUGUAACAUUCACCCAAUUCGUUUCUUGGACUCGGGUUUGAUACACGUCCGUUUAUCUUCAAAAUGGAUCCACAUUGUCUAGGCUGUGUUUGAUAGAAGACUUUAGAGACUACUAUUUCCCCAUCUUUUUCUUCCUCAUCGACACCCAAGUGAUAUUGAUGCAUUACCCAGUUAGUCUUUUGAGGUUUUUUCUGCUUGCCAUAGUUUGUGUAGAGCACUAAUAUCUUCUUGUAGCCUCUUACUCUACCAUCGUUGAGGACUGGUCGGGUCUUGCCUGUUUUGUGCCACCGGGUUUCGCUGCCAUCAUCGUCUGUAUGGACUUUCCUUCUCUUUCUUGUCCCUGUUGUGUAUGCUUUGGAAGGCCGGUGGAAGAAGUGACGAACUUGUCCGUCUUUUCUUACUCCUGCAAGAUGUUUAUAUUAAAUUAUGCUACAUCAUCUACUAUCUUUCUUGUGUGACAUUGACACAUGGCUCGGUAGAAAUUGGAGGGCUGUGAGCGAUUUCUUCCUUCUUUGCUUAAUUUCCUGUCCGACACACUAAUAGAAAUCCUCUUAACUACCUCCAAGACUUUGAAAACAAUACCACAGAAAACUUGUGUUCCUUGUCAUAGAUUAUCACUUGUCAAGCAAAUUGUUAAUUGUAAUUACUCCCUCUGUUCUAAUUUAUCAUGCUUGUAUGCCAUUUUGGGUGUAUGAAAAUGUUCUUAUUGCUAUUUUUGAAAUGGUACUUUGUUCCAAAA
This is an RNA transcript of Beta vulgaris subsp. vulgaris (sugar beet), 1956 nucleotides long. RefSeq lists it as uncharacterized. The transcript has 4 exons. Lineage: Eukaryota; Viridiplantae; Streptophyta; Magnoliopsida; Caryophyllales; Amaranthaceae. The record is from RefSeq and is a predicted model, not a curated record.